UACGUAGGAGGCGAGCGUUGUCCGGAAUUACUGGGCGUAAAGCGCGCGCAGGCGGCCUCUUAAGUCUGAUGUGAAAGCCCCCCGGCUCAACCGGGGAGGGCCAUUGGAAACUGGGAGGCUUGAGUAUAGGAGAGAAGAGUGGAAUUCCACGUGUAGCGGUGAAAUGCGUAGAGAUGUGGAGGAACACCAGUGGCGAAGGCGACUUUUUGGCCUAUAACUGACGCUGAGGCGCGAAAGCGUGGGGAGCAAACAGG
RNAcentral lists this ribosomal RNA (254 nucleotides) under uncultured bacterium. Its description in RNAcentral is "partial 16S ribosomal RNA". It matches the Rfam family "Bacterial small subunit ribosomal RNA", at positions 524 to 776 of the family's 1533-position model. The record is from RNAcentral.